This 215-nucleotide non-coding RNA is filed under the name Clostridiaceae bacterium. RNAcentral's name for it is "6S RNA". It matches the Rfam family "6S / SsrS RNA". Rfam says of the family: E. coli 6S RNA was the first non coding RNA to be sequenced, but its function was unknown until recently. Lineage: Bacteria; Bacillati; Bacillota; Clostridia; Eubacteriales; Clostridiaceae. The record is from RNAcentral.
AAGUUCCUGAAAUGUUCGGAUAAACCUAUAAUUUUGAACCUACAUCUGACAUAAGGGAGUCCGGAGUUUGAGACUGGAUGUCAGGCCUCAGUUUAAUUCCGACAUUCGGCAAUAACCGAGUGCAACGGCAGAGGAAGGCUGAAGGUUUCAGCAGGACACCCACCUAGCGAAGGGCUAGGUGUCAAAAUAUAGGGGAACGGCAUUUUGGGGCUUAA